Ixodes scapularis (black-legged tick) is the source of this 1214-nucleotide long non-coding RNA. RefSeq lists it as uncharacterized. Lineage: Eukaryota; Metazoa; Arthropoda; Arachnida; Ixodida; Ixodidae. The record is from RefSeq and is a predicted model, not a curated record. The transcript is spliced from 15 exons.
GGCAGGAACCCCCCAUUUUAGUGCUGCAACAGGGUUGGUGCCACUCCAAAAUGAGCCUCAGGCAACUCGUUCCGAUCAUGUCACUCCAAAUUUUUUCAAGGAGAUCUUGCGCCUACUGCACGUCAUCCAAUUCAAGCUGAAUGAACAUGCACUGAAGUUAGAGUUGCUAACCACCCUGGUCUCGAACAGCAACGACGAGAACAUUCUUGUCUCAGGCGAAUCCUUUGGGCCCUUCAAUGAACUCGCAACGUUUUUAGACUUUGAUGCUUCUGUGGCAAGCUCCGAAGAGAAAAAAAAACGGCUGAUGGUCUCCUGGGGCAAGUACGGGGGUUCUUCUGGACCUGACAUGACAAGGAGAAUUCUCGUUGGACUGCUUUCCGACGACAUCGCUGUUCAGUACAGCUUCAAGGGGGGUAAAGGCAAGCGCAAGUUUAACGAACUCGCCUGCUGGGAAAUCAUUAAAGAAACUGUUAAAGCGCAGGGUAAGCUUUCUGGUGCCACGGAUUAUGAUGUCGAACAAACAGUUAAGUCAUGGUUGGCCCAUUCAAAGGAGAGACUGGACAAAGCAGCCAAAAAAGUUGGUAUGUCUGUGCCACCAAGCCCGACUGCCUAGCAUGUCUUCCGCAAGCAGGUAGCUCCAGAGAUUUUGGUGUUACUUCUUCGCCAUUAGCCCAAUACAGGAGCAGGUAGCUCCAGAGAUUUUGGUGUUACUUCUUUGCCAUUAGCCCAAUACAGGAGCAGGUAGCUCCAGAGAUUUUGGUGUUACUUCUUCGCCAUUAGCCCAAUACAGGAGCAGGUAGCUCCAGAGAUUUUGGUGUUACUUCUUCGCCAUUAGCCCAAUACAGGAGCAGGUAGCUCCAGAGAUUUUGGUGUUACUUCUUUGCCAUUAGCCCAAUACAGGAGCAGGUAGCUCCAGAGAUUUUGGUGUUACUUCUUCGCCAUUAGCCCAAUACAGGAGCAGGUAGCUCCAGAGAUUUUGGUGUUACUUCUUCGCCAUUAGCCCAAUACAGGAGCAGGUAGCUCCAGAGAUUUUGGUGUUACUUCUUCGCCAUUAGCCCAAUACAGGAGCAGGUAGCUCCAGAGAUUUUGGUGUUACUUCUUCGCCAUUAGCCCAAUACAGGAGCAGGUAGCUCCAGAGCGACAUCUUUGAAGAAUUUUUACGCCUAAGACGUUGUUACUAGUCAUACGUUUAAUAAAGCAACUUGGGAAAGAUC